GUAGGUGAACCUGCGGAUGGAUCAUUACAGUAUUGGCGCUCCGAAUGUCGGCCACCACAUGUGAACUGUGUGCGGCGCGCAGUUGCGUAGUUGUAAUUGCGGCGAAUGUGCGCAAUGUGCAUUUGCGUAAUUGCAGUUGCAGCCGCAUCGCGCGCGCCGCCUGCUCUACGUAUCGCUAUAAUGACUCGCUGCGCGCAUGCGUGUGCGCAGUGCCAUAACAAUGCAAAACUUUUAGCAACGGAUCUCUAGG
This 250-nucleotide unclassified non-coding RNA is filed under the name plant metagenome. Its description in RNAcentral is "partial contains small subunit ribosomal RNA, internal transcribed spacer 1, and 5.8S ribosomal RNA". The record is from RNAcentral.